CCAUGACAACAUGUAGGGCGAGCCAGUGGUCUCUUUGGCUUUUCUCAUCGCAAGCCCUACACCCCCCCCCACAGUGCGAUGCGUUCUGUGGUGCUCGCGUGUUUGUUUUCCUGUUGGCCUCGGAAGGCUGAUAUGAGCGAUAUGCACGCCCGCUGGUAAGCGCCUUCGCAAAACUCUUCCAUCCCUUCCGUUGCGUCCCUUUCCAUCCCGGCCUUCGCCUGCCGACGCUCAAGCAAUGAUGCAGUUUCACAUUUUCUUCUGCGCCUUUAUCGGCCCCUUCGCAUUCCCAUACACAUCGAGAGUAGCUGCAUGGAGCGGGCAGCGGAUCGCUCGAGCACACCCUUGCGAGGUGUUCGGCUCCGUCCUGUCGCAUGGCGUCUAUCCGCGGACCCCUUCAGAGGCGGGAAGACAUGACGUGAGAAAAAUAGAAGCGUUCCCUGCACGCACCUGCUAGAUGCUCUUGUCGGGUGCGUUAACUUAGCUCCCGUCGUCAACUUUUUAUUCCCGCAUGACCGUGCCCCCCUGCUGUGUUCUCUCUCUGCGUUUUCCUUCUGUGUUACAUCGCCUCCAUCGUCGUUCUCUUC
Molecule: unclassified non-coding RNA, 584 nt
Filed under: Leishmania donovani
Lineage: Eukaryota; Euglenozoa; Kinetoplastea; Trypanosomatida; Trypanosomatidae
Description: gene:unknown
Source: RNAcentral